RNAcentral lists this unclassified non-coding RNA (536 nucleotides) under Hevea brasiliensis (rubber tree). Lineage: Eukaryota; Viridiplantae; Streptophyta; Magnoliopsida; Malpighiales; Euphorbiaceae. The record is from RNAcentral.
UAGCAGCACUGGAGCUGCCAAGGCCGUCGGCAAAGUCCUCCCUGCCUUGAAUGGGAAAUUGACUGGAAUGUCUUUCCGUGUUCCCACCGUCGAUGUCUCUGUCGUUGAUCUUACAGUGAGGUUGGAAAAGAAGGCCUCUUAUGAGGACAUUAAGGCAGCCAUAAAGGAAGAGUCUGAGGGAAAAUUGAAGGGAAUUUUGGGGUACACUGAAGACGAUGUUGUGUCCUCUGACUUCGUUGGUGACAGCAGGUCAAGCAUCUUCGAUGCCAAGGCCGGCAUUGCAUUGAAUGAUAACUUUGUGAAACUUGUCUCGUGGUACGACAAUGAAGUAGGAUACAGUACUCGUGUGGUCGACUUGAUUGUCCACAUCGCAUCUGUCCAGUAAGAUGGCUUGAUGAUGAGAAGGGUUUAAGGUUCCAUGGUUUGUUCUUGUUUCCAGUACUAGAGAGACUCAGCGAUGAGCGAGAAUGAAUAAAACAGAGUUUUCAAGCCGCCGGUUAUUUAAAGUUCUUAAGUUGUAAUGUCUGGUCUUCUUU